RNAcentral lists this ribosomal RNA (467 nucleotides) under uncultured bacterium. RNAcentral describes it as "partial 16S ribosomal RNA". It matches the Rfam family "Bacterial small subunit ribosomal RNA", at positions 28 to 507 of the family's 1533-position model. The record is from RNAcentral.
GACGAACGCUGGCGGCGUGCUUAACACAUGCAAGUCGAACGGAAAGGCCCUGCUUUUGUGGGGUGCUCGAGUGGCGAACGGGUGAGUAACACGUGAGUAACCUGCCCUUGACUUUGGGAUAACUUCAGGAAACUGGGCUAAUACCGGAUAGGAGCUCCUGCUGCAUGGUGGGGGUUGGAAAGUUUCGGCGGUUGGGGAUGGACUCGCGGCUUAUCAGCUUGGUGGUGGGGUAGUGGCUUACCAAGGCUUUGACGGGUAGCCGGCCUGAGAGGGUGACCGGCCACAUUGGGACUGAGAUACGGCCCAGACUCCUACGGGAGGCAGCAGUGGGGAAUAUUGCACAAUGGGCGGAAGCCUGAUGCAGCAACGCCGCGUGCGGGAUGACGGCCUUCGGGUUGUAAACCGCUUUCGCCUGUGACGAAGCGUGAGUGACGGUAAUGGGUAAAGAAGCACCGGCUAACUACGUG